CCUGAUAGCAAGUGCUGUAACACUGUCUGCGAGGCUACAACUCGCCGCUUAUUGUCAGCCAUACUACC
Molecule: transfer RNA, 68 nt
Filed under: Goggia lineata
Lineage: Eukaryota; Metazoa; Chordata; Lepidosauria; Squamata; Gekkonidae
Description: tRNA-Tyr
Source: RNAcentral